GAUGAAGAACGUAGCGAAAUGCGAUAAGUAAUGUGAAUUGCAGAAUUCAGUGAAUCAUCGAAUCUUUGAACGCACAUUGAGCCCGCCAGUAUUCUGGCGGGCAUGCCUGUUCGAGCGUCAUUACAACCCUCAGGCCCCCGGGCCUGGCGUUGGGGAUCGGCGGAAGCCCCCUGCGGGCACAACGCCGUCCCCCAAAUACAGUGGCGGUCCCGCCGCAGCUUCCAUUGCGUAGUAGCUAACACCUCGCAACUGGAGAGCGGCGCGGCCACGCCGUAAAACACCCAACUUCUGAAUGUUGACCUCGAAUCAGGUAGGAAUACCCGCUGAACUUAAGCAUAUCAAUAAGCGGAGGA
Molecule: unclassified non-coding RNA, 353 nt
Filed under: soil metagenome
Description: partial contains 5.8S ribosomal RNA, internal transcribed spacer 2, and large subunit ribosomal RNA
Rfam family: 5.8S ribosomal RNA (bases 1-120)
Source: RNAcentral